UGUUCAGGGGUAAACCUGUGGUUCCCGAAAGUUCGAACGGGGAGAUUCAAUUGCCUCGCCGGUUAUGACCAUUUAACAGUGAUGUUUAUAUAUGAGACAUUAUAUACGGUUUUCAGUUAAUUCUGCAUUCUGUUUUAUAGUGCUCCGCUGUUUUAUGUAUAUUGUUUAUAGCCGGAGGCGUGCACUUCUCCCCUUGUAGGACGUCGUGACCCAUUGGAUAAUUAAAAUGUUGUCUAAGGCUCAUAAUGGAGACCGUGGCUUUGAGCUUUGGCUUAACUGACCCGGACUUAUGAUGUCCCGACAUCUAUCCGAUGGUAGUACUAUGAUGAUGGGUCGCUGUAAAAGGUGAGCGUUCUGAUCCAUAACAAAUGCUUAUAUGGUAUAUUAGUGGAAAUCGGAUAUUAUGCCGGUUCUACACGUAUGGUAUUGUUAGUUAUGGUAUUCUUGAACCGUUCCUUAUCAUCAGUCAGCGGCGUUUAUGUUUUGGGUAAUUACAGGACCCGUCUUGAAACACGGACCAAGGAGUCUAGCAUGUGCGCGAGUCAUUGGGACUCUGUUAAACCUAAAGGCGUAAUGAAAGUGAAGUAUUUGUGAAUUUUCGUAAUUCACUUGUUUAAGGGAAGAUGGGUAACGGUAUUUAUGUUACCUCGCAUUCCCGGGGCGUCGCGUACUUAUUGCAAGUUGCGGCGCACCAAGAGCGUACACGCUGGGACCCGAAAGAUGGUGAACUAUGCCUGGUCAGGAUGAAGUCAGGGGAAACCCUGAUGGAGGUCCGUAGCGAUUCUGACGUGCAAAUCGAUCGUAUGAACUGGGUAUAGGGGCGAAAGACUAAUCGAACCAUC
RNAcentral lists this ribosomal RNA (842 nucleotides) under Laemostenus complanatus. Its description in RNAcentral is "eukaryotic LSU rRNA". It matches the Rfam family "Eukaryotic large subunit ribosomal RNA", at positions 406 to 944 of the family's 3401-position model. The record is from RNAcentral. Lineage: Eukaryota; Metazoa; Arthropoda; Insecta; Coleoptera; Carabidae.